Molecule: ribosomal RNA, 426 nt
Filed under: uncultured bacterium
Lineage: Bacteria
Description: bacterial SSU rRNA
Rfam family: Bacterial small subunit ribosomal RNA
Source: RNAcentral
GCAAGGAAUUUUGCACAAUGGACGAAAGUCUGAUGCAGCGACGCCGCGUGAGGGAUGAAGACCUUCGGGUUGUAAACCUCUUUUUCUGGGGAAGAGUAAGGACGGUACCCAGAGAAUAAGUCUCGGCUAACUACGUGCCAGCAGCCGCGGUAACACGUAGGAGGCAAGCGUUAUCCGGAAUUAUUGGGCGUAAAGAGGGCGCGGGCGGUUCUUUAAGUCAGGUGUGAAAUCUCUCGGCUUAACCGGGAGGGGUCAUCUGAUACUGGAGGACUUGAGGGCAGCAGAGGGGGACGGAACUCCCGGUGUAGUGGUGAAAUGCGUAGAUAUCGGGAAGAACACCAGUGGCGAAAGCGGUCCCCUGGGCUGUUCCUGACGCUGAGGCCCGAAAGCGUGGGGAGCAAACCGGAUUAGAUACCCGGGUAGUCC